AUUGAACGCUGGCGGCAUGCUUUACACAUGCAAGUCGGACGGCAGCACAGAGAAGCUUGCUUCUUGGGUGGCGAGUGGCGAACGGGUGAGUAACAUAUCGGAACGUACCGAGCAGUGGGGGAUAACUAAUCGAAAGAUUAGCUAAUACCGCAUAUAUUCUGAGGAAGAAAGCAGGGGACCAUUUGGCCUUGCGCUGUUUGAGCGGCCGAUAUCUGAUUAGCUAGUUGGUGGGGUAAAGGCCUACCAAGGCGACGAUCAGUAGCGGGUCUGAGAGGAUGAUCCGCCACACUGGGACUGAGACACGGCCCAGACUCCCACGGGAGGCAGCAGUGGGGAAUUUUGGACAAUGGGCGCAAGCCUGAUCCAGCCAUGCCGCGUGUCUGAAGAAGGCCUUCGGGUUGUAAAGGACUUUUGUCAGGGAAGAAAAGGGGCGGGGGUAA
RNAcentral lists this ribosomal RNA (440 nucleotides) under Neisseria mucosa. RNAcentral's name for it is "bacterial SSU rRNA". It matches the Rfam family "Bacterial small subunit ribosomal RNA", at positions 30 to 464 of the family's 1533-position model. Lineage: Bacteria; Pseudomonadati; Pseudomonadota; Betaproteobacteria; Neisseriales; Neisseriaceae. The record is from RNAcentral.